CCUACGGGAGGCAGCAGUGAGGAAUAUUGGUCAAUGGACGCAAGGCUGAACCAGCCAUGCCGCGUGCAGGAAGACGGCUCUAUGAGUUGUAAACUGCUUUUAUACGAGGAUAAACGCAGAUACGCGUAUCUGUCUGCAAGUAUCCUACGAAUAAGCAUCGGCUAACUCCGUGCCAGCAGCCGCGGUAAUACGGAGGAUUCAAGCGUUAUCCGGAUUUAUUGGGUUUAAAGGGUGCGUAGGCGGUCGGAUAAGUUAGCGGUGAAAGCCCGAGGCUCAACUACGGAAUUGCCUUUGAUACUGUUCGGCUAGAGAGUAGUUGCGGUAGGCGGAAUGUAUGGUGUAGCGGUGAAAUGCUUAGAGAUCAUACAGAACACCGAUUGCGAAGGCAGCUUACCAAGCUACUUCUGACGUUGAGGCACGAAAGCGUGGGGAUCAAACAGGAUUAGAUACCCGAGUAGUC
This 460-nucleotide ribosomal RNA is filed under the name uncultured bacterium. RNAcentral describes it as "partial 16S ribosomal RNA". It matches the Rfam family "Bacterial small subunit ribosomal RNA", at positions 338 to 795 of the family's 1533-position model. The record is from RNAcentral.